Molecule: non-coding RNA, 625 nt
Organism: Carassius gibelio (silver crucian carp)
Lineage: Eukaryota; Metazoa; Chordata; Actinopteri; Cypriniformes; Cyprinidae
Source: the annotation of a RefSeq genome assembly
GACAGACAGCUCUCCUUCAUGAACAGAUCCAAAAGCAAACAUGACUUUAAUAGCCAUCAUUGUUUGGAUGCUCACAAACUUCAUCUGGAGUUCUGUGGGGCAGAUUCUGACUCAAUCUGAAAAUCAAACAGUGAAUCCUGAUCAAACUAUUCCUGGAGAAGUUCCUAAACUCCUGAUCUAUUACAUAUCAGAGAGAGCUUCAGGUGUUUCUUCUAGAUUCAGUGGCACUGAAAGUGGAAACCACAUGGAUUUUACUCUGACCAUCAGUGGAGUCCAGCCUGAAGAUUCAGGAGUUUAUUACUGUCAGAGUGCACAUAACAAGGGUGUCUCUGGCACCACAGACUGGGUGUUCACACAGUGUGAAAGCAUCGUACAAAAACCUCUUUGUGUGAGACUGCAGCGCUGCAGCUUUGAGCUUCUGCAGAUGUUGAUGUUGGAGAUCAUUGUAUAAGAUAAUUUCCCAUUUCAAUUUCCUAUCUAAUAAUAAAUAUUUAUGUUAGAAACGGCUACAUAAUUAAACUAGUUUUUAUUUAAAUUGUUUACCAAAUGUACUUUUUAGAAAUGACUUGUGCCUUCAUGAACUAAAUAAAAAUACAAGCAAUUAAUUAUAUUAAUAAUGAUAUAC